GCUGAUGUAGCUCAAUUGGUAGAGCAACUGACUUGUAAUCAGUAGGUUGUGGGUUCAAUUCCUAUCAUCAGCU
RNAcentral lists this transfer RNA (73 nucleotides) under Anaerococcus lactolyticus ATCC 51172. It matches the Rfam family "tRNA". Rfam says of the family: Transfer RNA (tRNA) molecules are approximately 80 nucleotides in length. Lineage: Bacteria; Bacillati; Bacillota; Tissierellia; Tissierellales; Peptoniphilaceae. The record is from Rfam by way of RNAcentral.